RNAcentral lists this unclassified non-coding RNA (378 nucleotides) under uncultured Gemmatimonadota bacterium. RNAcentral's name for it is "uncultured Gemmatimonadetes bacterium contains 16S-23S intergenic spacer region". Lineage: Bacteria; Pseudomonadati; Gemmatimonadota. The record is from RNAcentral.
UCCGAGUUGUCCCCGGCAGCCUCCGUAGAGUCCCCGCCAUGACGCGCUGGCAACUGCGGAUAAGGGUUGCGCUCGUUGCGGGACUUAACCCAACAUCUCACGACACGAGCUGACGACAGCCAUGCAGCACCUGUCCUGGUGUCCCGAAGGGCUGCCGUAUUUCUACGGCAUUCCAGUGCAUGUCAAGCCCAGGUAAGGUUCUUCGCGUUGCGUCGAAUUAAACCACAUGCUCCACCGCUUGUGCGGGCCCCCGUCAAUUCCUUUGAGUUUCAGCCUUGCGGCCGUACUCCCCAGGCGGGGCACUUAAUGCGUUAGCGCCGGCACCCAGGGGGUCGCUCCCCCAGGCACCUAGUGCCCAUCGUUUACGGCGUGGACUAC